This 73-nucleotide transfer RNA is filed under the name Nitrososphaerota archaeon. RNAcentral describes it as "tRNA-Val". It matches the Rfam family "tRNA". From Rfam's summary of the family: Transfer RNA (tRNA) molecules are approximately 80 nucleotides in length. Lineage: Archaea; Thermoproteati; Nitrososphaerota. The record is from RNAcentral. RNAcentral also lists the same sequence under 2 other names.
GGGCCGGUAGUCUAGGGGCUAUGACGCCGCCCUUACACGGCGGAGGUCGUGGGUUCGAAUCCCACCCGGCCCA